CUUGAACAAACAUAGUUGAUAGGUCCUUAAUUUCUUCUAUAACAACCACUAUAGGGUCAAAUUUUUCUGUCAAACUAAUCAUAAUUUUAUCAACAAUUCUGCGAUCAUCUAUUGUAUCUCCAUGUGACUUCAUUUGAUUCACCAAUUCAGAGAGUCUAUUAAAGUAUUCAUUCAAACUCUCACUCUCUUUCAUUCUUUCAUUUUCAUAGUCUCUCU
This 216-nucleotide long non-coding RNA is filed under the name Lathyrus oleraceus (garden pea). RNAcentral describes it as "Pisum sativum (pea) long non-coding RNA (PSAT_LNC014727)". The record is from RNAcentral. Lineage: Eukaryota; Viridiplantae; Streptophyta; Magnoliopsida; Fabales; Fabaceae.